UAAAACAGAAGUCAAACCAAAAGUCAAUCAACAAAACUAGGUUAUAAAUAAGUCAUGAAUAAAUUAAAAAUGUGAAAUAAAAAUCCAAGAAAAAGUCAGGUUGACCAUGGGGCAGUGGUCAACCUUCAUCCCAAAAAUCAAAAGCUGAAAAUAAUUUUUAGUUAUAAAAAUAAAAUCAAGAAUCAAAUGUAUGCUAAAAUGAACCACUUAGAAUGAAUAAUUAAAUUAAAAUAUUUAUACUAAAUAAAUGCGAAA
This 255-nucleotide long non-coding RNA is filed under the name Lathyrus oleraceus (garden pea). RNAcentral's name for it is "Pisum sativum (pea) long non-coding RNA (PSAT_LNC030109)". Lineage: Eukaryota; Viridiplantae; Streptophyta; Magnoliopsida; Fabales; Fabaceae. The record is from RNAcentral.